AGGGGCAGCAUGGUCUUAGCUUGCUAAAGACUGAUGGCGACCGGCGCACGGGUGAGUAACACGUAUCCAACCUGCCGUCUACUCUUGGACAGCCUUCUGAAAGGAAGAUUAAUACAAGAUGGCAUCAUGAGUCCGCAUGUUCACAUGAUUAAAGGUAUUCCGGUAGACGAUGGGGAUGCGUUCCAUUAGAUAGUAGGCGGGGUAACGGCCCACCUAGUCUUCGAUGGAUAGGGGUUCUGAGAGGAAGGUCCCCCACAUUGGAACUGAGCCACGGUCCAAACUCCUACGGGAGGCAGCAGUGAGGAAUAUUGGUCAAUGGGCGAGAGCCUGAACCAGCCAAGUAGCGUGAAGGAUGACUGCCCUAUGGGUUGUAAACUUCUUUUAUAAAGGAAUAAAGUCGGGUAUGUAUACCCGUUUGCAUGUACUUUAUGAAUAAGGAUCGGCUAACUCCGUGCCAGCAGCCGCGGUAAUACGGAGGAUCCGAGCGUUAUCCGGAUUUAUUGGGUUUAAAGGGAGCGUAGAUGGAUGUUUAAGUCAGUUGUGAAAGUUUGCGGCUCAACCGUAAAAUUGCAGUUGAUACUGGAUAUC
RNAcentral lists this ribosomal RNA (588 nucleotides) under uncultured Bacteroidales bacterium. RNAcentral's name for it is "bacterial SSU rRNA". It matches the Rfam family "Bacterial small subunit ribosomal RNA", at positions 65 to 641 of the family's 1533-position model. The record is from RNAcentral. Lineage: Bacteria; Pseudomonadati; Bacteroidota; Bacteroidia; Bacteroidales.